CGGCCGUGUACGAAAAGUCCUGGAAGAGCACCUGCUCCUCCUCUGUCAAGUGUCGCGGCUCCUUCGGUGGUGUUAACUGAGCCUUCUCCGACGUGAACUCCUCGUCAAAGUUUGACACAUCCUCCAAGUGGUUCUGCAAGGCACGAAUGGUGGUUUAACCUUUCGCAGCAGCAGGUCAUCCCACACUAUCGACCGGAAGAAUGCCUGUUUCUUAACAUCCUCCGCAUCCCGUUCCGAGGAUCCUAGACGUCUCUCUGGAUUCUUGCGCAAAAGCUGCCAAUUAAUUGACAUUAAGUUCUGCUUUCGAACAGUUACUUUAAGAAUCAAUCAACUUACCCUACGCAUCACGGCUAUGGCCUCCAGCGAGAGGAAACGCGGAUAGCGCACCUCAUCGUUGACAAUUGAAUCAAAUACUUCCUCCUCAUCGUCACCAGGGAAUGGGGACUGUAAGCAUCAAUUGAUUAUGAACUGAGUUAUUAAAGCUUGUUUCUUUCGACCUACCUCACCAA
Molecule: long non-coding RNA, 509 nt
Organism: Drosophila teissieri
Lineage: Eukaryota; Metazoa; Arthropoda; Insecta; Diptera; Drosophilidae
Exons: 2
Source: RefSeq, a predicted model, not a curated record